This 391-nucleotide ribosomal RNA is filed under the name uncultured bacterium. RNAcentral's name for it is "bacterial SSU rRNA". It matches the Rfam family "Bacterial small subunit ribosomal RNA", at positions 28 to 420 of the family's 1533-position model. The record is from RNAcentral.
GACGAACGCUGGCGGCGUGCUUAACACAUGCAAGUCGAGCGGUAAGGCCCUUUCGGGGGUACACGAGCGGCGAACGGGUGAGUAACACGUGGGUGACCUGCCCUCAGCUCUGGGAUAAGCCUGGGAAACCGGGUCUAAUACCGGAUAUGACUCCAUGACGCAUGUUGUGGGGUGGAAAGCCUUGUGCGGCUGAGGAUGGGCCCGCGGCCUAUCAGCUUGUUGGUGGGGUGAUGGCCUACCAAGGCGACGACGGGUAGCCGGCCUGAGAGGGCGACCGGCCACACUAGGACUGAGACACGGCCCAGACUCCUACGGGAGGCAGCAGUGGGGAAUCUUGCGCAAUGGGCGAAAGCCUGACGCAGCGACGCCGCGUGAGGGAUGACGGCCUCGG